Molecule: ribosomal RNA, 395 nt
Filed under: uncultured bacterium
Lineage: Bacteria
Description: bacterial SSU rRNA
Rfam family: Bacterial small subunit ribosomal RNA
Source: RNAcentral
GAUGAACGCUAGCGGCAGGCUUAACACAUGCAAGUCGAGGGGUAGGUUACUUCGGUAAUUGAGACCGGCGCACGGGUGCGUAACGCGUAUACAAUCUACCUUUUACAGAGGGAUAGCCCAGAGAAAUUUGGAUUAAUACCUCAUAGUAUUUUUGAAUCGCAUGAUUUGAUUAUUAAAGUUCCAACGGUAAAAGAUGAGUAUGCAUCCCAUUAGCUAGAUGGUAAGGUAACGGCUUACCAUGGCUACGAUGGGUAGGGGUCCUGAGAGGGAGAUCCCCCACACUGGUACUGAGACACGGACCAGACUCCUACGGGAGGCAGCAGUGAGGAAUAUUGGACAAUGGGCGCAAGCCUGAUCCAGCAAACUGCCGCGUGAGUGAUGAAGGCCUUAGGUUG